UUUUAUUUUUUGAGUCUAUUUAUUGGGAUGACAUGGUUCUAUUCACUGUAACACCAUGCUAAUGUUUCCUAUCGUUUUUUGGGGGAUAACAAAGGUGCUUUGGAAGUCAGAUGGCUUCUGUGACACUGCUGGGUGGGCUCUUUGACAGAGCUGGGUCUGGUGUCAUGUCCCAAAGGAUGUUCCCUGGGCUGCACUGGCCUGUGUCCUGGGACGCCAGCUCGUCCCUCUUGCUCCUCCACUGCCAGGGGUAUGGCAGGGCAGGAAGACAAGACCACCAAGAGCAAAGCAGGCCCAAGUCCCUCUGUGUCCCCUGAGGAGACCUCAGUCAUAUGCCUCUACCUGCUGGAAGACACAGCCUGGGCCCGCAGAGUCGAGAGAGGAGAUGCAGACAGAUUUCUACACAUUGAAGGUGAAGCUAGGAGU
This 423-nucleotide long non-coding RNA is filed under the name Cavia porcellus (domestic guinea pig). Its description in RNAcentral is "lncRNA (ENSCPOG00000036280.1)". The record is from RNAcentral. Lineage: Eukaryota; Metazoa; Chordata; Mammalia; Rodentia; Caviidae.